AAUGCGUCUGCUAGAGCUAGAAUUUAUAGUUUGAUUUUUGAAAGUUAUAAGACUUUUUGAUUGAAAGUUUGUAUCUUGAACUGUAUUUAUUGUGCUACUGAAAGACUAGAGAGAUUGAAAUGGCCCCAGCUAUAAAAGCAAAAAGCGUGGUCGACAUUAUAAGUAGAAAAUUUAGUGGAUGAGUAUAUCGCUAGAAAGGGUGUUAUUCUUGGUGCCUUGAAGCCAGGUAUUACCAAAUAACACAAAAAACAUGCUUGGACACAAAUUGUAGAAGCCUUAGCACAAGCAUGCCCCGAUGAACCAAAUCAUGAUGUGAAGGAGACAAAGAAGAAAUUUUGUCCCCUAAAAGGUGAUACAAUGAAUGUGUUAGUAAUUGUAUGGUGUUGAAAUAAACUUUUAUUUUGUAUUUA
Long non-coding RNA from Daphnia pulex (common water flea), 410 nucleotides. RefSeq lists it as uncharacterized. The record is from RefSeq and is a predicted model, not a curated record. NCBI's taxonomy places the organism in Eukaryota, Metazoa, Arthropoda, Branchiopoda, Diplostraca, Daphniidae. The transcript is spliced from 2 exons.